CGGCGAUCACCUCAGCUGCUCAGGAUUGGCUGAGUCCACAGGCAGCCUGACCAAUAGCGGCGGUGGGGUAUGUAUAAAUUCCACAGCGAGAGUACACUGCGGCCUUUCCAGGCGCGAGGACCUGUCGGGAACUGAAUCUCAGCGGCGUGAGGGGCAGCGAGAGCCAGGAGGUGCUCCCCUGAGGGCCCGGCACGCUUCCCCGGCUCCUCGCGAGCUCCGGGCUGGGUACGCGUGGCGGUGGUAGGGGAGGGAGGGCUGAGCGCGGCGCUGUGCGGCCCGCACCGCUUGGCGGCCUCCGUGUCUCCCCUGGGGCCGCCGUACCGGUCUGACCUCACAGCUUACGGAUUCAAUAAAGUUUUCUGACUCGAA
RNAcentral lists this long non-coding RNA (369 nucleotides) under Gallus gallus (chicken). Lineage: Eukaryota; Metazoa; Chordata; Aves; Galliformes; Phasianidae. The record is from RNAcentral.